GUCAAGCGUUGUGCAAUCACUUCCCAGUAAGCGCACGCAUGGCACGGCCUGGACCUGUUGUUGUUUUGCUGGGUUUCCUGGGAAGCUGAGCCUCGUCCGCUUCCAACUUUCAGUGAUCUGGUGCCUCCCCCUUCAUGCUACCUUAUAGCCGGAUAGCGUUGCAUGAAUGGGAAGUUGUGUAAUGUGAGUUUCCACUAUCAUGGUGCAGUUGUUGGCUGCCCCACAGCUGUGUCCUCUAAACCCGACCACUUCUCUCCCCUUCUUUCCUCGCCGCUCACUUGCCCUCUCCCACCCUUUAAAGUGGAUGUUUUGAACACUCCUCUACCUUCUCUUAACUUGGUGUCUGUCCCUCCCCCCUCCUCCCCACCCCACUCUCCCACCCCUCUUGUCUUCCUUGUUUUGCUCACUCUUAGUUAGUGUGUCCCUGCCAUGUGGUCGACUGUCCUCCUCUCGGGCCUCCGCGGUGCGUGCUCCACGGCGCUCCUGGGCUGGCCUCCGCAUCUUCACUCCUGACUCGCACCAGAGAGACUGCGUGUCAAGUCACCAGUAGGACGCCCCGCCAUCGCCCCCACUAAUCUGAAGUUGAGGACAGGAAUGACAUGAAAAGCAUCUCAUUUUUCUGUGGAUGAUCUUGUCCGGUGUCUGCUGGAAGCACUUACGUAGGACGUGUCCCAACAAGAUGAAGCAACCACAGAGAAAUUCCUCCAGAAAUGGAAUGUGAUCACAUUUGUCUGAGGGGACAACCUUCCUCAAGGAGCACCCUCCCCCCGUGUGGACCAGCCCCCCCGCCCAGGUUCCAGCCAGUGAUGACACAGCUCGGUACGACUCACUUCCCCAUUAAUUGGCUGAAACCAGUUCUGACAGGAACCGCCUGCGAUAAAUGUGAGAGUUCUGAGAAGUCAUUCAGUUCUCCUCGCUGCAGCGGCAGAGGAGGCACGGCGAGGGAGUUGAACGGGUUCAUCUGCGUGCGUGCGUGCGUGCGUGUGUGUGAGAGAGAGAGCGGGAGGAAGCUGAGUGUGUGAGACAGGAAAGCAGAGUGUGAGAAUGCGCUGCUGCCGCCGCCGUAUGAAGACCAGGCAACUUUGAUUUUGUGUGCUUUUUUUGUAUUAUUUCAUUUUAUUGUUACCGUUUUGUGUGUGCGUGUGCGCGCGCGCGUGUGUGUGUGUGAUCAGCGAUGGGAUUGCACUCUCCCAGCCAUCGUAGAGGAGAUAGGACAGCAUGCCUCCCUUUGUGGCUGACGUGUAUCUGGGCUGGGUGCGGCACUGCAGAAAGCCUUCAAGGGAGCGCUCGGAGGCCUCCAGAGGGCCAAGCCGCACUGGAGAGGGGGUCCCAACUGUAAGUACAGGGGGGGCCUUGGACCCCUCCAUCCCACCCCACAACCCCCCACCUCAACCCCCCCAGCUCACUGCCUCUAUUCAUUCACAUGUGCGUGCCGAGGAAGGAAUGUUGCCCCCUCACUUUAGCCUCUUUCACUCGCUCUCCCGCCACUUCUUUCUGGAUGUGACAAAAUUCGGGUUGCGUCUUCCGUGAGAUGCCAAAGAAACGCUGAUGUUGUACAGUACAACACCGGGCAGGGUGGGCGGAGAGGUGGUAGAGGCGGGGGGGGGUGCUCUGUAUUGACUACUAUAGCGUGCUGACUCAUGCUCCGUCUUACCAGUUGGGAGUAUAGUGAGUACGGUCCCUCCCAUGUGCGUCUCACAUCUUGCACUCGGUGCCCCGCCUGAACUCAGCACUCAAUGUAGACCGGGGCGGGGGCAGCCACCCAAACGCCCCCCCACCACCACCCCACCUCCACCAGUGACAAUCCAUCAAAACCUCCCUGUCUAGAACAAAAAGAGCCAGUUGUAGCUGCAGCCCAUGUCCUCCUUCAAAGCUUCUCUCCCUCCUUUUUUUUUUUUUUUUAUGAAAAUGUCCUUUUUUUACGGGCUUACGUGGAAUGAGAAGAUUGGACGGGGGGGGGACUUUAAGUUCCAUAAAGACAGAUUAAGGCAUUUGAAGAACAAUGUUCCUUUUUUCUUGUAACUGGAGCCUGCCGCAGUUACAGGAGAGCGGCGAGGCAAUUUAACUCACAGGGCCGGGGUCAGCGGGGGCGCUCCGAGGGAGGACGGUGGGGGUUGCGACGUGUUUUAUUACCCCUGAUCUCUAUCUGUCCUGCACAUGGAGCUGGAUUCCUAGCUGGCCCGCAGCAGAGGGGUGAGCGUGGGGUGUUAGGAGGGGUGCCCCCGCACUCACUCAUCAGGCUCUGCUCCGUUCUCUCAGGAGGAGGUCUGGACGGCGGACCGGUGGAGAUGUUUGUGGUCACCUCUGUCCAUGGGCCCUGAGUGACAAGCAAAGGAGCAUCAGUCGGGGAGGCCUCCUUGUCAACUUGUGGUUGGUGCUUCGGGGUGCGUAAGCUCGUGUGUUGCAGCCACACUGCUGGGACCAACCCCUCCUCAUCUUGCUCCACUUUGUUUGGCCAUUCCGCAUUUAUUAGUCUUCCGAGUAGUUUGAUGAGCUGUGUAAGUGUUUGCACAAGCUCUCAGUCAUCUGUCGGGAAGAUGUUAUUGCUGCAAGCUGCUCAGGUCUGCUCCUAAGUGCUUUUAGAAGUCAUCUCGCUACCUUCGGAGGAGAGAACGUUAAAACGGCCGUGAAUCAUCCCGGGUCGGUUCCUUUGUCUGCCCUUAUUGUUCUGCCUACAGGAAGAGAGCAUGAGUCAGCUUACCAGGCGCACGCAUGCAUUGAAUCAGACGGAGAUGGUGUCUUUUACGUGUGGGUUUAUUUUCCACGUAGACACGGACGGGUGAGUCUUUUCUUUUUUAACCCACGUUAGGCACCCCCUAAUUCCCCUUUUUGCUCCAGUGUCUUUUUGCCGUGAAAUGUUCUAUUUUAUCCCGCUCUACGCUGGACUGAGCGCAGGAGGAGGGGAGAAAAGAAAAAAAAAGCCUCCAGCGCGCAGAGAAAAGCGUCUGUGCCGUUACCUCAGCUGAACCCUCAAAUGAACCCGUUGCACUGCCUUCAGUCGCAGCGCCAGGAGACGAUUCACUCGGGCAGAUUCAAAACAGAGAGGUACUGUUGGACGGGGCUCUCUGAUCAAGCUUCCUCUCGCAACAUUCCCAUCUCUCCCACUUUUCCCCUGCCAGGAGGAUUAUUAGGCUUUGUUCUGUCCCACGUCCUCGCGGUCGUCCGUGCUGUCCUGUCACAUAGCUUAUCAGACUGGUGUUGGCUGUUAAGAUUGUAAGGCGACAACAGUCUGUAGGCUGUCUGACAUUUCGGGCUCCUUCAUCUGACCAGCAUCCUGUUUUGUCCUCUUUUUCUGUUCUGUCUUUGUCUCAGCUAGCAUCAGUUCCCAUUUCAGGGUGGGUGUGUGACCAUGAUACUUCCCUUUAUCCCAACCGCCUGUGAAGCACAGGAGAAGAUGGCUUUAUUGUUGCUGACGUGCGAGGCGUUUUCAAAUGUGGAACCGUGCAUUCAUGUGUGUGUCAAUACUGGUGUGUGUAUGUGUGUGUGUGUGUGUGUGUGUGUGUGUGUGCAUGUGUGUGUGUGUGUGUGUGUGUGUGUGUGUGUGAGCUAUCUGUGUCCUCUUGAAUUUCCAGAGACUCCAGACAGUACACACCUCA
Long non-coding RNA from Dunckerocampus dactyliophorus (ringed pipefish), 3596 nucleotides. RefSeq lists it as uncharacterized. The record is from RefSeq and is a predicted model, not a curated record. NCBI's taxonomy places the organism in Eukaryota, Metazoa, Chordata, Actinopteri, Syngnathiformes, Syngnathidae. The transcript has 6 exons.